UUUAAGGUCUAGCCUGCCCAAUGAGUGGUUGAAUGGCCGCGGUAUUUUGACCGUGCAAAGGUAGCAUAAUAAUUAGUUUUUUAAUUGGAAGCUGGAAUGAAUGGUUGGACGAAAGAGUUACUGUCUCAUUUUAAUUUGGUUAGAAUUUUAUUUUUAAGUUAAAAAGCUUAAAUUAUUUUAAAAGACGAGAAGACCCUAUAGAGUUUUACAUUAUUUAUUAUAUUUUAUUGGUUAGUAUUUAUUUAUAUGUAUAUUAAUUAAGUGUUUUGUUGGGGAGACAUAAAAAUUUAUUGAACUUUUUAUUUUAUUUUUCACUUUUUUGUGAUUGGUUGAUCCAUUAGUAAUGAUUAUAAGAUUAAGUUACCUUAGGGAUAACAGCGUAAUUUUUUUUUAGAGUUCUUAUCGAAAGGGAAGAUUGCGACCUCGAUGUUGGAUUAAAGUUAAUGUUUGGUGUAGUGGCUAAAUAAUUAGGUCUGUUCGACCUUUAAAAUUUUACA
Molecule: ribosomal RNA, 497 nt
Filed under: Oocamenta sp. DA3129
Lineage: Eukaryota; Metazoa; Arthropoda; Insecta; Coleoptera; Scarabaeidae
Description: partial 16S large subunit ribosomal RNA
Rfam family: Bacterial large subunit ribosomal RNA
Source: RNAcentral